UUAAAAAGCUCGUAGUUGCAGUUUAGGAUUUCGUUUCUAUGGUCGGCUGUGAUAAACAGUUUUGUACUGUAGAGACAAUCCUUUCCUACUGGUUACUCGACUCUGUCCUUUACUGGAUGGAGUACUGUCGCAAGGCAUCGUUUUGCAUGAUAUUGCUCUUCAUUGUACUUUUUGGGUAAAACUGAAGGUGAAAGUGAAGGGAUCACAGUAUUGUGUAAAAUGGGGUUCCAGUUCAUUUACUUUGAGUAAAUUAGAGUGUUCAAAGCAGCCUCUUGGGGCAUUGAAUAUAUUAGCAUGGGAUAAUAGAAUAGGACUCUUGUUCAUUUAUUGGUUUAUGAAUUUAGAGUAAUGAUUAAUAGGGAUAGUUGGGGGCACUUGUAUUCAAUAGUCAGAGGUGAAAUUCUAGGAUUUAUUGAAGACAAACUUCAGCGAAAGCAUUUGCCAAGGAUGUUUUCAUUAAUCAAGAACGAAAGUUAGGGGAUCGAAGACGAUUAGACACCGUCGUAGUCUUAACUAUAAACUAUGCCGACCAGGGAUAUGAGGAUUUUUAUUUAUGCUAUUAAAUUACCAUAAUUCCUUGUGCACCUUGUGAGAAAUCAUAAGUGUUUGGGUUCUGGGGGGAGUAUGGUCGCAAGGCUGAAACUUAAAGGAAUUGACGGAGGGGCACCACCAGGAGUGGAGCCUGCGGCUUAAUUUGACUCAACACGGGAAAACUUACCAGGUCCAGACAUUUGAAGGAUUGACAGAUUGAUAGCCCUUUCUUGAUUAAA
Molecule: ribosomal RNA, 770 nt
Filed under: Vannella sp.
Lineage: Eukaryota; Discosea; Flabellinia; Vannellidae
Description: SSU rRNA
Rfam family: Eukaryotic small subunit ribosomal RNA
Source: RNAcentral